Molecule: ribosomal RNA, 800 nt
Filed under: Bacillus sp. (in: firmicutes)
Lineage: Bacteria; Bacillati; Bacillota; Bacilli; Caryophanales; Bacillaceae
Description: bacterial SSU rRNA
Rfam family: Bacterial small subunit ribosomal RNA
Source: RNAcentral
CUAAUACAUGCAAGUCUAGCGGACAGAUGGGAGCUUGCUCCCUGAUGUUAGCGGCGGACGGGUGAGUAACACGUGGGUAACCUGCCUGUAAGACUGGGAUAACUCCGGGAAACCGGGGCUAAUACCGGAUGGUUGUUUGAACCGCAUGGUUCAGACAUAAAAGGUGGCUUCGGCUACCACUUACAGAUGGACCCGCGGCGCAUUAGCUAGUUGGUGAGGUAACGGCUCACCAAGGCGACGAUGCGUAGCCGACCUGAGAGGGUGAUCGGCCACACUGGGACUGAGACACGGCCCAGACUCCUACGGGAGGCAGCAGUAGGGAAUCUUCCGCAAUGGACGAAAGUCUGACGGAGCAACGCCGCGUGAGUGAUGAAGGUUUUCGGAUCGUAAAGCUCUGUUGUUAGGGAAGAACAAGUGCCGUUCAAAUAGGGCGGCACCUUGACGGUACCUAACCAGAAAGCCACGGCUAACUACGUGCCAGCAGCCGCGGUAAUACGUAGGUGGCAAGCGUUGUCCGGAAUUAUUGGGCGUAAAGGGCUCGCAGGCGGUUUCUUAAGUCUGAUGUGAAAGCCCCCGGCUCAACCGGGGGAGGGUCAUUGGAAACUGGGGGAACUUGAGUGCAGAAGAGGGAGAGUGGGAAUUCCACGUGUACGGGUGAAAUGCGUAGAGAUGGUGGAGGAGCACCAGUGGCGAAAGCGGACUCUCUGGUCUGUAACUGACGCUGAGGAGCGAAAACGUGGGGAGCGGAACAGGAUUAUAUACCCGGGUAGUCCACGCCGUAAACGAAUGAAUGCUAGAUG